UUGAUAUUAAAUUAGAACUCAUUGUGGACAUGACCAUAAUACAUUUUCCCACUAGGUUUUUUUCCUGCUAUAUUGCUAGCAUUCAGCCUACUGGGAACAUUU
Molecule: small nucleolar RNA, 102 nt
Organism: Artibeus jamaicensis (Jamaican fruit-eating bat)
Lineage: Eukaryota; Metazoa; Chordata; Mammalia; Chiroptera; Phyllostomidae
Product: small nucleolar RNA SNORA32
Exons: 1
Source: RefSeq, a predicted model, not a curated record